GUCUAUGGUCACCCUGAACACACGUGAUCUCCUCUGAUCUCGGAAGCUAAGCAGGGUCGAGCCUGGUUAGUUCUUGGAUGGGAGACCACCUAGGAAGACCAGUGCUACAGGCA
This 113-nucleotide ribosomal RNA is filed under the name Pteropus alecto (black flying fox). The record is from RNAcentral. Lineage: Eukaryota; Metazoa; Chordata; Mammalia; Chiroptera; Pteropodidae.